This 230-nucleotide ribosomal RNA is filed under the name uncultured bacterium. Its description in RNAcentral is "partial 16S ribosomal RNA". It matches the Rfam family "Bacterial small subunit ribosomal RNA", at positions 568 to 797 of the family's 1533-position model. The record is from RNAcentral.
UGCGUAGGCGGAUUAAUAAGUCAGUGGUGAAAUCUUUCGGCUCAACCGAGAAACUGCCAUUGAUACUGUUAAUCUUGAGUUCGGUUGAGGUAGGCGGAAUGUGUAAUGUAGCGGUGAAAUGCUUAGAUAUUACACAGAACACCAAUUGCGUAGGCAGCUUACUAGACCGACACUGACGCUGAGGCACGAAAGCGUGGGGAGCGAACAGGAUUAGAUACCCUGGAAGUCCC